RNAcentral lists this transfer RNA (81 nucleotides) under Hapsidospora chrysogenum ATCC 11550. RNAcentral describes it as "Acremonium chrysogenum ATCC 11550 tRNA". It matches the Rfam family "tRNA". From Rfam's summary of the family: Transfer RNA (tRNA) molecules are approximately 80 nucleotides in length. Lineage: Eukaryota; Fungi; Ascomycota; Sordariomycetes; Hypocreales; Bionectriaceae. The record is from Rfam by way of RNAcentral.
GGUGAGGUGGCCGAGUGGUUAAGGCGACAGCCUGCUAAGCUGUUGGGUUCGCCCGCGCGUGUUCGAAUCACGUCCUCAUCG